CUUGAUCGAACCGAGCAGCAAAGGCGACGUGCGGUCCUGACCAUAGGUGGCCAGCAAAGCCUGUGCCUC
This 69-nucleotide non-coding RNA is filed under the name Lentzea aerocolonigenes. The record is from RNAcentral. Lineage: Bacteria; Bacillati; Actinomycetota; Actinomycetes; Pseudonocardiales; Pseudonocardiaceae.